GUUUGAAGGCAAAUUGAAAUGUGUAGUGAAUAAAGUUUGUUUAUCCCUUUGAUCGAAUUAGAUACUUUGUCCGUGAUAAACAAAUGACGAUUUCAUGCUUCAGAACAAUUUCAAUUCCCAUGGGGAUUUAAAAACGUUCGAGAACGCCAAAAUAUUCGGAAAUUUCCUUGUCUAUUUCACAUGCACGUGUGCUUUUGUUGCGUAAAUAUACAAGCGUUUGCAGUGAUUUAUAAACCUCCUAGAUCAAGCAGUGCGAAAUUGUGUAAAAAUACGAAGCAAAAAGACAUCGCCACACUGAGGAAAAGACUUAAAUUCAAGUGGUAUUAUUAGAGAAAGCAAAUUUACACGACAGACAUUCUAUUUAAAGGAAGGCAUAAAAGCCGCCAUCUUGAAUUCUUUUAUACAACAGUCAAACUUAAAUGCCUUUUGUUAUCAAUCUGCUUUGGUUCAUAGGGAAUAUAAAGCAUUUUCAAUAUUAACUCGCAUGUACUUGAACCAUUAGCAAAUAGUAUUAUGAUUUUUUUUAUUUCGGGGCUACUAAGUUUUUACUUUUAAAUCUUAUAUUGCAUUGCACUGAUUGUGAACAUACUAGAAGAAGCAAUUAAUAUUGUGUAAUGAAUAGGGGUACUAUGUAAUAUUAUGGGAUAUAUGAAUCAUUGUAUUAUGUGCCAAUAUGUGGUAAUAUAUUUUGCAAGUUUGGUUUUAUUAGAG
Paramuricea clavata is the source of this 711-nucleotide non-coding RNA. The record is from the annotation of a GenBank genome assembly. Lineage: Eukaryota; Metazoa; Cnidaria; Anthozoa; Malacalcyonacea; Plexauridae.